Molecule: ribosomal RNA, 690 nt
Filed under: uncultured bacterium
Lineage: Bacteria
Description: bacterial SSU rRNA
Rfam family: Bacterial small subunit ribosomal RNA
Source: RNAcentral
AACGCUAGCUACAGGCUUAACACAUGCAAGUCGAGGGGCAGCGCAGUGUAGCAAUACAUGGGCGGCGACCGGCGCACGGGUGCGUAACGCGUAUCCAACCUUCCCGUUACUCAGGGAUAGCCUUCCGAAAGGGAGAUUAAUACCUGAUGGUGUUUGAAUUCCGCAUGUUAUUCAAACUAAAGAUUUAUCGGUAACGGAUGGGGAUGCGUGACAUUAGGUAGAUGGCGGGGUAACGGCCCACCAUGCCUACGAUGUCUAGGGGUUCUGAGAGGAAGGUCCCCCACACUGGAACUGAGACACGGUCCAGACUCCUACGGGAGGCAGCAGUGAGGAAUAUUGGUCAAUGGUCGGAAGACUGAACCAGCCAAGUAGCGUGAAGGAUGAAGGUUUUAUGGAUUGUAAACUUCUUUUAUACGGGAAUAAAACCACCUACGUGUAGGUGCUUGUAUGUACCGUAUGAAUAAGCAUCGGCUAACUCCGUGCCAGCAGCCGCGGUAAUACGGAGGAUGCGAGCGUUAUCCGGAUUUAUUGGGUUUAAAGGGAGCGUAGACGGGAGAUUAAGUCAGUUGUGAAAGGCUGCGGCUCAACCGCAGCACUGCAGUUGAUACUGGUUUCCUUGAGUGCGGUUGAGGUGUAUGGAAUUCGUGGUGUAGCGGUGAAAUGCUUAGAUAUCACGAAGAACUCCGAUUG